Molecule: ribosomal RNA, 468 nt
Filed under: uncultured bacterium
Lineage: Bacteria
Description: partial 16S ribosomal RNA
Rfam family: Bacterial small subunit ribosomal RNA (bases 49-468)
Source: RNAcentral
GGGGGGGGGGGGGGGGGGGCGGGGGGGGGGCGGGGCGGGCGGGCGGGCGCGGCUGUGGGGGGGUGCGGGGGGGGCGGGGGGGGGAGUAGCACGGGAGUCACCUGCCCUGUACUUGGUGACUUCUUCAGGCCGCUGGGGCUACUACCGGAUAGGUGCUCCUGCUGCAUGUGGGGUGUUGGAUAGUUUCGGCGGUUGGGGAUGGACUCGCGGCUUAUCAGCUUGUUGGUGGGGUAGUUGCUUACCAAGGCUUUGACGGGUAGGCGGCCUGAGAGGGUGACCGGCCACAUUGGGACUGAGAUACGGCCCAGACUCCUACGGGAGGCAGCAGUGGGGAAUAUUGCACAAUGGGCGGAAGCCUGAUGCAGCAACGCCGCGUGCGGGAUGACGGCCUUCGGGUUGUAAACCGCUUUCGCCUGUGACGAAGCGUGAGUGACGGUAAUGGGUAAAGAAGCACCGGCUAACUACGUG